RNAcentral lists this long non-coding RNA (1201 nucleotides) under Olea europaea (common olive). Its description in RNAcentral is "long non-coding RNA (OEUR_LNC002910)". Lineage: Eukaryota; Viridiplantae; Streptophyta; Magnoliopsida; Lamiales; Oleaceae. The record is from RNAcentral.
GGAAAUCAAUUGACAUAUUUCAAUAAUGAAAAUAAUUUUAAAUCAAAAUUACCCACCGAAUCUAUCCAAAUAUAGAAAAAUAUGGGUACGUGUUUAUCUCUUUCCAACUUCACGUUCUCUCCUCACAUUUCCUUCUCCUAUGUUUACGUCGUUCUCUCUCUCGAGUCUUGCCUGUCUUGCCGGAUAUACGUGAAGUUAAUGGUUCUUGUUCCGUCUAGAUUGGGGAAAAUUGCAGAAUCAUUUUUGUUUGUUGUGUGACUAGGGGUUCAGAAAUCGAUCUAGCCUUCAUCUCGUCUAGCCGAAUAUAAGCAAUGUAUUAGGUCUUUGUUCCGUUGAUCACACGAGAUUUUGGUUGAGGAAAAUAACAUUUUUAACUCUCACUGUAAUUGAUUUCUUGUUUCUUAUGCGAGUGGUGGUCCAGAAAUCAAUUCAGUUAUUUUAUUGAAUUAGUUGGUUGUUUUUAAUCUCACAUUCUGGAGAUUUCCAAGUUCCGACAUCGGUCUGUAAUAUAGAGGUUUUUGGAAUACUUUGGAUAGACUCGGGCAUCAGAGCACUCCAGAUGUUCGUCUAAAUGUUGAAAUCAAGAGAAAUAAUUUCAGUGUCAUCCAAAUGCAGAGAUCAUUGAAUUUAAGAGAGACGGAAGUGGUCCUUAACAUUAGAUAUUUCGAUUUUGUGUCAUUUUCUUUCCCUUUUUAUUUCCAUAUAGCCUGUUGUUAUUAGAAGAGGUUAUAGUUUUUAAAUUCUAUAAAUUUUGUCUUCGAUUAUCAGUUGCACCAUUUAUAGUAUAUGAAUCGUUUGGGAUAAUAUUUGACAUUUGAAGAAAUAUGGAAUGCAAGUUUCUGCAUUUCUGUUACUAGGUUGUAUGUUCCUUUUUGGCGUGUCCAUGGCUACCGAUGUUUACGAGGUUCAUUUCAUCAAGCAGACAAACUAGUUCAAGUAGCGUGUCCAUGGAACAGUUUCACGAACUCCUAAAGAGGAAGUCUGAAAUAAAAUUAAACUCCUUGAUGGCAUCGGUUCAUUUCCUGUCAGCAUUAUUACACCCAUUAGGGCUCUGCAGAUUUCGGUUAUGCUGGUGAAACAUUUCUCAGCUUUAAAACCUUGGCACUCACGGGAAAUAGAGACUAAUCAGUUCCAUGGUUGGAGUUCAGUCUAUGCCAUCUUUUGUAUGUUGAUUUUUCCAACUGCCAUCUGCAAUAAACUC